RNAcentral lists this ribosomal RNA (253 nucleotides) under uncultured bacterium. RNAcentral describes it as "partial 16S ribosomal RNA". It matches the Rfam family "Bacterial small subunit ribosomal RNA", at positions 524 to 776 of the family's 1533-position model. The record is from RNAcentral.
UACGAGGGGGGCAAGCGUUGUUCGGAAUUACUGGGCGUAAAGGGCGCGUAGGCGGCAUGUCAAGUGGAUGGUGAAAUCCCUCGGCUUAACCGAGGAACUGCCGUCCAAACUGCUUCGCUUGAGACCGGGAGAGGUGAGUGGAAUUCCCAGUGUAGCGGUGAAAUGCGCAGAUAUCAGGAAGAACACCCGUGGCGAAGGCGGCUCUCUGGUACGUGACUGACGCUGAGACGCGAAAGCGUGGGGAGCAAACAGG